GAGCAUUGUAGCCACGACGCGCGGCAGC
Molecule: small RNA, 28 nt
Filed under: Bombyx mori (domestic silkworm)
Lineage: Eukaryota; Metazoa; Arthropoda; Insecta; Lepidoptera; Bombycidae
Description: ovarian small RNA-15784
Source: RNAcentral